AGCGAACGCUGGCGGCAGGCCUAACACAUGCAAGUCGAACGCCCAGCAAUGGGAGUGGCAGACGGGAUAGUAACACGUGGGAACGCGCCCUUCGGUUCGGAAUAACUCAGGGAAACUUGAGCUAAUACCGGAUACGCCCUUACGGGGAAAGAUUUAUUGCCGAAGGAACGGCCCGCGUCGGAUUAGCUAGUUGGUGAGGUAAUGGCUCACCAAGGCGACGAUCCGUAGCUGGUCUGAGAGGAUGACCAGCAUCACUGGGACUGAGACACGGCCCAGACUCCUACGGGAGGCAGCAGUGGGGAAUAUUGGACAAUGGGCGCAAGCCUGAUCCAGCCAUGCCGCGUGGAUGAUGAAGGCCCUAGGGUUGUAAAGUCCUUUUAACGGGGAAGAUAAUGACGGUACCCGUAGAAUAAGCCCCGGCUAACUUCGUGCCAGCCGCCGCGGUAACAC
This 450-nucleotide ribosomal RNA is filed under the name uncultured bacterium. RNAcentral's name for it is "bacterial SSU rRNA". It matches the Rfam family "Bacterial small subunit ribosomal RNA", at positions 29 to 526 of the family's 1533-position model. The record is from RNAcentral.